Molecule: ribosomal RNA, 448 nt
Filed under: Rhinocypha tincta
Lineage: Eukaryota; Metazoa; Arthropoda; Insecta; Odonata; Chlorocyphidae
Description: partial 16S ribosomal RNA
Rfam family: Archaeal large subunit ribosomal RNA
Source: RNAcentral
AACGGCCGCAGUAUAUUGACUGUGCAAAGGUAGCAUAAUCAUUAGUUUCUUAAUAAGGGGCUGGAAUGAAUGGUUUGACGAAAUAUCGACUGUCUCAUUUUUAUUAAUUGAAUUUAACUUUUAAGUUAAAAGGCUUAAAUUUUUUUGGAAGACGAGAAGACCCUAUAGAGCUUUAUUAACCUUAUUUUUAUUUUUUUUGGUAAAAGGUUAUUUUAAUUAUAAGUUUAAUUUUGUUGGGGUGAUGGUAGAUAAAUAUUUAACUUUUAUUAUAAGUUUUACACUUAUUUGUGAUAAAUUAGAUCCUUUUUUUGGAUUAUUAGACUAAGUUACCUUAGGGAUAACAGCGUAAUCUUUCCUUUGAGUUCUUAUUUUCGGAAAGGGUUGCGACCUCGAUGUUGGAUUAAGAUUAUAAUUAGGUGCAGCUGCUUAUUUUAUGGGUCUGUUCGAC